RNAcentral lists this ribosomal RNA (169 nucleotides) under uncultured Nitrospina sp. RNAcentral's name for it is "partial 16S ribosomal RNA". It matches the Rfam family "Bacterial small subunit ribosomal RNA", at positions 132 to 299 of the family's 1533-position model. The record is from RNAcentral. Lineage: Bacteria; Pseudomonadati; Nitrospinota; Nitrospinia; Nitrospinales; Nitrospinaceae.
UCAUAAUCGGGNACUUGACGAAGUUGCGCUAAUACCGAAUAAGACCACGUCUCUUAUGUGAUGUGGCCAAAGGAGUCUCAAACUCCGUUUAUAGAUGAGUUCGCGGACCAUUAGCUUGUUGGCGGGAUGAUAGCCCACCAAGGCUACGAUGGUUAGCCGGCCUGAGAGG